Molecule: unclassified non-coding RNA, 223 nt
Filed under: plant metagenome
Description: partial contains small subunit ribosomal RNA, internal transcribed spacer 1, and 5.8S ribosomal RNA
Source: RNAcentral
UUUCCGUAGGUGAACCUGCGGAAGGAUCAUUAAAGAGAAUAUGCCCUUCGGGGUAUAUCUCCCACCCGUUGUUUAUAUUACCUUUGUUGCUUUGGCAGGUCCGUCUUCGGACCACCGGCUUCUGCUGGUCAGUACUUGCCAGAGGACCCAAAACUCUUAUUAUUAAUGUCGUCUGAGUACUAUAUAAUAGUUAAAACUUUCAACAACGGAUCUCUUGGUCCUG